AUUGAACGCUGGCGGCAGGCCUAACACAUGCAAGUCGAACGGUAACAGGAAGCAGCUUGCUGCUUUGCUGACGAGUGGCGGACGGGUGAGUAAUGUCUGGGAAACUGCCCGAUGGAGGGGGAUAACUACUGGAAACGGUAGCUAAUACCGCAUAACGUCGCAAGACCAAAGAGGGGGACCUUAGGGCCUCUUGCCAUCGGAUGUACCCAGAUGGGAUUAGCUAGUAGGUGGGGUAACGGCUCACCUAGGCGACGAUCCCUAGCUGGUCUGAGAGGAUGACCAGCCACACUGGAACUGAGACACGGUCCAGACUCCUACGGGAGGCAGCAGUGGGGAAUAUUGCACAAUGGGCGCAAGCCUGAUGCAGCCAUGCCGCGUGUAUGAAGAAGGCCUUCGGGUUGUAAAGUACUUUCAGCGGGGAGGAAGGGAGUAAAGUUAAUACCUUUGCUCAUUGACGUUACCCGCAGAAGAAGCACCGGCUAACUCCGUG
RNAcentral lists this ribosomal RNA (490 nucleotides) under uncultured bacterium. RNAcentral describes it as "partial 16S ribosomal RNA". It matches the Rfam family "Bacterial small subunit ribosomal RNA", at positions 30 to 507 of the family's 1533-position model. The record is from RNAcentral.